This 1168-nucleotide ribosomal RNA is filed under the name uncultured bacterium. Its description in RNAcentral is "bacterial SSU rRNA". It matches the Rfam family "Bacterial small subunit ribosomal RNA", at positions 218 to 1394 of the family's 1533-position model. The record is from RNAcentral.
CAUGUGGAUGGGCCCGCGGCCCAUUAGCUAGUUGGCGAGGGUAACGGCCCACCAAGGCGACGAUGGGUAGCCGGCCUGAGAGGGUGUACGGCCACACUGGGACUGAGACAAGGCCCAGACUCCUACGGGAGGCAGCAGUCGGGAAUCUUGCACAAUGGGCGAAAGCCAGAUGCAGCGACGCCGCGUGAGCGAUGAAGGCCUUCGGGUUGUAAAGCUCUGUCUUCGGGGACGAACCCCGGGACUGACGGUACCCCUGGAGAAAGCCCCGGCUAACUACGUGCCAGCAGCCGCGGUAAUACGUAGGGGGCGAGCGUUACCCGGAUUCACUGGGCGUAAAGGGGGCGUAGGUGGCCUAACAUGUCAACUGUGAAAACCCUCGGCUCAACCAAGGAAUUGCACUUGAUACUGGCAGGCUAGAGUCUAGUAGAGGGAAGUGGAAUUCCCGGUGUAGCGGUGAAAUGCGCAGAUAUCGGGAAGAACACCGGUGGCGAAGGCGGCUUCCUGGGCCAUGACUGACGCUGAGGAGCGAAAGCUAGGGGAGCGAACAGGAUUAGAUACCCUGGUAGUCCUAGCCGUAAACGAUGGGCACUAGGUGUAGGGGGGAGCUCGAUCCUCCCAGUGCCGUAGCUAACGCGUUAAGUAUCCCGCCUGUGGACUACGGCCGCAAGGCUAAAACUCAAAGGAAUUGACGGGGGCCCGCCCAAGCAGCGGAGCGUGUGGUUUAAUUCGAUGCAACGCGAAGAACCUUACCUAGGCUUGAAAUGCAGGUUAAACUCACUGAAAAGUGUUUACUCGGGAACUGGUGUACAGGUGGUGCAUGGCUGUCGUCAGCUCGUGUCGUGAGAUGUUGGGUUAAGUCCCGCAACGAGCGCAACCCCUGCUCUUAGUUGCCAUCAGGUAAUGCUGGGGACUCUAAGAGGACUGCCGAGGACAACUCGGAGGAGAUCGGAAGUGACGUCAAGUCGGUAUGUCCCUUACGUCCAGGGCUACACACGUGUUACAAUGGCCAGUACAACGGGUUGCUAAACCGCGAGGUGGAGCUAAUCCCUCAAAACUGGCCUCAGUUCGGAUUGGAGUCUGCAACCCGACUCCAUGAAGCCGGAAUCGCUAGUAAUGGCGGAUCAGCCAAGCCGCGGUGAAUACGUUCCCGGGCCUUGUACACACCGCC